This 207-nucleotide ribosomal RNA is filed under the name uncultured bacterium. Its description in RNAcentral is "partial 16S ribosomal RNA". It matches the Rfam family "Bacterial small subunit ribosomal RNA", at positions 568 to 774 of the family's 1533-position model. The record is from RNAcentral.
CGUGUAGGCGGUCUGUUAAGUCUGAUGUGAAAGCCCGGGGCUCACCCCCGGAAGUGCAUUGGAUACUGGCGGACUCGAGUCUCGGGGAGGAGGGUGGAAUUCCUGGUGUAGCGGUGAAAUGCGUAGAUACCAGGAGGAACACCGGUGGCGAAGGCGGCCCUCUGGACGAUGACUGACGCUGAGACGCGAAAGCGUGGGGAGCAAACA